This is a transfer RNA of Cladophialophora immunda, 94 nucleotides long. It matches the Rfam family "tRNA". Rfam says of the family: Transfer RNA (tRNA) molecules are approximately 80 nucleotides in length. Their secondary structure includes four short double-helical elements and three loops (D, anti-codon, and T loops). The record is from Rfam. NCBI's taxonomy places the organism in Eukaryota, Fungi, Ascomycota, Eurotiomycetes, Chaetothyriales, Herpotrichiellaceae.
GACACUAUGGCCGAGCGGUUAAGGCGUGUGACUAGAAUUUAUUCUGGGUUAUCACAUCUCUUCGGAGGCACAGGUUCAAAUCCUGUUGGUGUCG